RNAcentral lists this transfer RNA (71 nucleotides) under Loxodonta africana (African savanna elephant). It matches the Rfam family "tRNA". From Rfam's summary of the family: Transfer RNA (tRNA) molecules are approximately 80 nucleotides in length. The record is from Rfam by way of RNAcentral. Lineage: Eukaryota; Metazoa; Chordata; Mammalia; Proboscidea; Elephantidae.
GCAGUGGUAGUUCAGUGGUAGAAUUCUUGCCUUCCACGUGGGAGACUUGGGUUCAACUCCCAGCUAACGUG